Molecule: long non-coding RNA, 1221 nt
Organism: Galleria mellonella (greater wax moth)
Lineage: Eukaryota; Metazoa; Arthropoda; Insecta; Lepidoptera; Pyralidae
Exons: 3
Source: RefSeq, a predicted model, not a curated record
UUUACUAUUUAUUUUUUUAAUGUAUAAUGUUUUAACCAAGAAGAUUUAAAGUAAAAAUAUACAUAAUAAUGUGUUUUCUACAUGUUUUUCUAUCUGUUGAGCAACCUAAAAAUUGCUGAAAGAACGCUUUGUCAUUUCUAUAAUUACCCAGGUAAUUAAUACGCAAUUUAGGUACCCAGCACCAUGUAUUACUUAUUUCUACUUCGCCGAUCAUCAUUAUCUUACACCGAUCCAUCGUUCGGUCGUUCAUUAUUGAUAUAUGUAUGUUUCGAAAGAGUUUAAAAGAAAAGAAGAUUGCGUUUUAUGAACCAGCCAAAAGAAUAUGUUUUCAACUGGUCUUUUUAUGACUAGUAUCGAGAAUUUAUUUUAUAAAUCCCUUCGAUCUAUCUGGAAUGUAGUUCCGCCUGUUUUUUAUAAGAAAGUUUUACAUUCGCCAACAAACUACUAAGUAAUUUCACGAUUUUUACAACGUUGAACAUAAGCCUUCCCCAUAAGAGGAGUCAUGCCAGUAGUUGUCACGCUUGGCAGGCGGGUUGGUAAUUACAAUUAGGCUUUUACAGAUGUUUUAAGAGGUACGCUGCUGCCCAUCCCUCCACCAUAAGCUCCCUUAGUCGCUUCUUACGACACCCACGGGAAAGGAAUAGGUGGCUCAUUCUAUGCCGGGGCCGACACGGCAAAUAAUGAAAUAUUGAAUGCUAAAUUGGUCAUUUUCGACUUGAUACUAACAGGUGCUCUUAGAUUAUAUGAUACUUAUAAAGACCAGAGGCGAAUUAAAUGUUGAAAGUGCCCUAGGCAAGCACCUCAUCGGCGCGUCUCUAGUGACCUCUAUAGUAUAAAUUUUAAAUAGUAGAUACUUAGUAGUAAGCAUUGAUGACUGAAGUUAUAAAUUACUUAUUUAAAAAUUGACACUAAUAACAUUAAAUGAAAAAUGUUAACAAAUGUUAAACUUAGAAGAUUCUGUGUCUACUUUUUUGUCUUGUGAAUUUGUUAAUUAACAUCGUUAUAAUUUGGUAAUAACAUUGUUAUAUGUAAUUUAAAGAUAAGAUAAAGAUAAGUUUGAUUCAAUCUUAAAUAUUUCUAAUAUGAUGUUACGCAUGGGUACCACAGAAUAUCAGCGUUGUAGCAAUUAAAUUGCUACAGCACAUGCUGAGUGGCGACCACGUUGGCAAUAACAAAUGCAAAUUUUUUUUUAAAUUGAUUAUUUAUGUAACUUUUUUUUGU